This 253-nucleotide ribosomal RNA is filed under the name uncultured Bacteroidales bacterium. RNAcentral's name for it is "partial 16S ribosomal RNA". It matches the Rfam family "Bacterial small subunit ribosomal RNA", at positions 524 to 776 of the family's 1533-position model. The record is from RNAcentral. Lineage: Bacteria; Pseudomonadati; Bacteroidota; Bacteroidia; Bacteroidales.
UACGGAGGAUGCAAGCGUUAUCCGGAUUUAUUGGGUUUAAAGGGUGCGUAGGCUGUUGAGUAAGUCAGUGGUGAAAUGUAUCAGCUUAACUGAUAAAUUGCCGUUGAUACUGCUUAGCUUGAAUACUGUUGCCGUGGGAGGAAUGUGUAGUGUAGCGGUGAAAUGCAUAGAUAUUACACAGAACACCGAUUGCGAAGGCAUCUCACGAAACAGGCAUUGACGCUGAGGCACGAAAGUGCGGGGAUCAAACAGG